Ictidomys tridecemlineatus (thirteen-lined ground squirrel) is the source of this 72-nucleotide non-coding RNA. The record is from Rfam. NCBI's taxonomy places the organism in Eukaryota, Metazoa, Chordata, Mammalia, Rodentia, Sciuridae.
GGUGUUGUGGCUCAGAGGGAGAGCACUCGCCUGGCACGUGCAAGACCCUGGGUUCAAUCCUCAGCACCACAU